RNAcentral lists this ribosomal RNA (253 nucleotides) under uncultured bacterium. RNAcentral describes it as "partial 16S ribosomal RNA". It matches the Rfam family "Bacterial small subunit ribosomal RNA", at positions 524 to 776 of the family's 1533-position model. RNAcentral also lists the same sequence under 1 other name. The record is from RNAcentral.
CACGGGGGGAGCAAGCGUUGUUCGGAAUCACUGGGCGUAAAGGGCGUGUAGGCGGUCAGGUAAGUGAAAUGUGAAAUGCCUCGGCUCACCCGAGGACCGGCAUCUCAUACUGCCUGACUUGAGUACGGGAGAGGAUGUGGGAAUUCCUGGUGUAGCGGUGAAAUGCGUAGAUAUCAGGAGGAACACCGGUGGCGAAGGCGCACAUCUGGCCCGAUACUGACGCUGAGGCGCGAAAGCUAGGGGAGCAAACGGG